Acinonyx jubatus (cheetah) is the source of this 6371-nucleotide long non-coding RNA. RefSeq lists it as uncharacterized. The transcript is spliced from 4 exons. The record is from RefSeq and is a predicted model, not a curated record. Lineage: Eukaryota; Metazoa; Chordata; Mammalia; Carnivora; Felidae.
CGCGGGAGGGGAGGGGGGAGGGGACCCGGCUGCUCCAGGCGUCUGGCCGCCCCGGGCCGCCUGGCCCCGCUCCCGCGGCCCGGUGUGCCCUGACGAGGGAAUCCGGCCCCCUGGUCGUUCCUUGGCCAGACAAGCGCGCCGCCUGAGCGGCCCCCAGCUCUCCGUGGAUCGGAGCGCCUGGCCCCAGUGGGAUUCUUACCAGCUGGGCCCCUGGACUGGACGCCUGGGAGCAGGACGGAGGGACGCCCAGGACGGAGAGACAGGCACCGGCUCUUGCCGGACCCUCCGUGAAGGCCCAGCCCACUAGGAACUUAUGCUCUUGGCCUCUAGGUGGGCCAGGCACGAAGACCCCUUAGACGCAGGUCCCCUGAGUGUACAGGGAGGCAUCUGGAGACACUUCCCAAGAGGUUACCUGAACUGGGCUUUGGAGAAGGAGUCCUGAAGGGAGGCAGCAGGGGAAAGGCGAGGAGGGUUUGCAGAGGCCCCUGCAGCAGGAAGAGGGGCAAAGGUGGUCAGAGAGGUGGACUCGGUGAAGCUGACCUGGAGACAUCGGUUCCCAGCCUACAUCACCAACUUGGUCUCCAUUGUCUUCGUGGGUUAGACAUCGCUUGGAGCCUCGAGCCAGGAUGUGCCCUUGAUGACUGCAGCCUGGGGCUUGCGUGGCUCAGGGGCUGCUGGGGUAGACCAUGGAGGACAUGGGCAGCGGGAGCUCAAUGCCAUGGAGACUGGCUCCCUGCCAGCAGAGUGGUCAGCUCCCCCACACACAGGCUGUCAGCAUCUGGGCCCUGGCUGCCCGCCCACUGCUGGCCUGGGCUCGUUUGAGUGCCCUGCCUGCUUGGCCAGAUGUCCAGUAGGCUUUGGACAGAGCCAUCUAACCUGGGGCGGAACCCAUGGGCUGUCAGAGGCCUUCACCCACCCCUUCACCCAGCACAAGGUCACCACCGAGCCAAGCUAGGAGGAAGGGACAGAAAGGCUGGACUCUCCAGCCAGCAGACCGGCGACACGUCGGCCCAGACAGAGCUGGAGUCCUUGGCCAGCACCAAGGGCUCUGCUGGGGUGGCCCCUGAUGACCCACUCUGCCAGCAGCACCAGGCUGCGCCCCGACACCAGGCUGCACCCCGUAGCAUCACCGGAGGCAGGGUGUUGUUGCUGCAGAGUACAGCACUGAGAUGGCCCGGUGAGCUCAUCUGAGCUCUGAGACCUUGGGCAGACCAGACCUCCACACACAGGCUGCAGUUGAAGAAAGUGCUCCAUCCUUCCUCCCGGCUCCGGUGUGCUGACCCCAUCCCUUCCUGACGUCCUACCCACAGAGAUGAGAUCCAUCAGGCCAGUCACUCUCCCCUAGGGGUGGUCUCGUUCCCCAGAGACAUCUUUGUCUAACAUGCCUGGGGCAGGUGUUACUGGCCCCUCCUACAAGGCACAGAAAAGCCCUCCCACCGCCACAACAGAGAAUUAUCUAUCCCCGGAUGUCAAUAGGGCAGAGGUUAAGACACCAUGAUUUAGGUUAACAAGGUCUUCUCUUAAAAUGCAAAUAUUUCUGGUAAGUUAACCAUCCACACCUUAGCAUAAAAUAGUGCAAAUACGUGGAUUUUUCUCCCUAAGGCUCCUAACAAUACCCAAGCCAAGCGAUGAGCAUUUUCAUGGGAAAGGAGGCAGGAAUCUGGGAGGGGUUGGAAAGGAGGGCGCCCCGCCAAGGGCUUUGGGCAGGCGAGCAUCUGUAUGGGGGUCCACACAGGUCGGGCUCAUCAUCAGCUCGUGGUCAGAGCGUAGCACAGUAGCCCCGCACCUUCCACAAUGCUCUCUUCUAGCCUGAUGACAAAACACUACUCUCACCCCAUCACAGAACGAUGGAGUCUUUGCGGUUUCACAGUUCGGAGGCUUAAUUUACAUGUGUGACUUUGGGCAAGUUGCUGAACCUCUCUGUACCACGGUUCCUCAGCCUGUAAAUGGGGCCUAAUAACAGUACACACAUCACAGGGUUGUUAUGACAGUGAGAUGAGUUAAGGGUUGUAAAGCAUUUAGACCGAGCCUGGCACGAGGGAGACUUCUAUCAGCAUCAAAGGAAACACAAAUGAAUCCGUCCCAGGGCGGGCUCUGAGUGCAUUGAAUCUACAGCGUGUACCGCCUUCCUCCACCAAGACGAAGACCGUGGGUGUCGGGAGACACACAGAGUGAAGACAGGGAGGAGACAGGGCACCCAAGGCACCCAACGUCCCGGGAGCACCCCCACCCCAGCAGAGACGGCCGCAGCCGUCUGGGAAAGCUGGGGGACACGGGAGAGCCAUUUUACCCAGACGGCAGCCCUAAGGGUGCAGACAGCUGCCGUGCGGGCCCCACCCGCUCUGGGGAGCAAGAGGUUUGCUCAAAGGCCAGGAGGUGAACGGAGACAUUUUACAACCCCCACCACGGGACCCCUCUGCGCCACCUCCCCUCCCUCCGCGUGCCCCCGGCUCCCCGUUUGGUUCAGCGCUGCCCUACACCGUGCAGGCAGCUGAGCCCUGGAACCCAGGGGCCCCGGCCCGCCUGACAGGCGCAGUUUCGAGUGGCGGCUGGCUGUCGCCAGAUCCCAGGGUGGGCUCUCCGGGCCAGGCACCCCACCAGGGCCAUCGGGCACUGUGUGCCAGCCCACAGCCCCCAAGCCCCCUCCUGGGAGCCUGGGGGAACAAAGCUCCCCUUCCAACCAGAGCUGCCAGCAUCGACCCCUCCGAGUAUCUUCAGGGCCACAGCCCAGAGACUGACUGGCACUCGCCCUCACUGACCCCUCCGGGCCCACCCACUCUGCCCAAGGUGGACACAGGAUAAGGAGAACCCAGAUGCCAUCACCUCCCCCAACCCUUGCUUUGGCCCCCACUCAGACCCAGUCCGGGCCCAGACCCUGCUGUGAUGAGGCUGAUUGGGCCUCCUGGCUGGCCGCCACCACGGCCCGACUCCCGGCCCGCGAGCCCGUGUCUGGGCUGGUCUUGACUCGAGGCCCCCUCCACCCUCUUUCACCUCCUCCCCCGCUGACCCCCACCAUGAGACACCAGGAGCAGCAAGUGAGGCCAGGAAAGGAGCCAGCACCCUGAAUCUCCUACUGACACCGUGCUCCGCUCCCACGGACUCACCCCAGCGGCGUUGGGAGCAACCGAGACAUCGUACCCCUGACGGUGCGCCCGCCCCCGCUAGCCUCUCCCCGCAGGGCUAUGGGACAGAGAGGACUGCCAGCAAGGCCUGGACCCGGCCUCCCACAGAUGCCUCCCAGGAGCUCAGCUCUGACUCUGCAGCCUGCCAGCGGCACAGGAAGGGCCAGGACACGUGCUCGUGUGUGCACGCACAUCACCUACACCCUCAGGCACUUGCACACACACGUGCACACGCACACCGCACCAGCUCCCGAGGGCUCCGCGACGCCCACCGAGUUCUCCCCACACCCCACGGAGCCACACACGGAUGCGCAGAGUUCUACAUCCGGGUCACGCACAGGAACGCAGAGCCCACACUGGGAACGCACCAGGGGCACUCCCGUGGUCCCACUCUGAGCCACACUAGGGCACCCAGGAGGGGACUCACCCACGGCCACCCACAAGACGGUGGCUCUCUUGUGAGAAACCCCAAAAUCCCAUUGUUGGGGUCUGAAACUGCUGCUCAGACCCAAAACUGUCACUGCCAGGGCUACCCUGGACCCUGGGGGACGGUGAGAACACGCUUUCUGCUUUGAGGGGAGGGCACCAGGAGCCCCGGGCAGACAAGGGCAGGAGACAUCAGAUUUGGCCAGCUCAGCAGGACCCCACAGACUCAUGAAUUUUUCAGAGGCACCCAAAGUGAAGAGCGAAGCUGCCAAUGGGGUCCCGGGGGUCCUGCUUUAAAUUAUUCACAGCCGAGCAAGGGUGGUAGCAUCUGGCCCCAAGGCCCGACUUCAGGUGUAGCCUCCCUGAGCCCCGGCCGGAGCCAGCCCUGUGGCCGGCAGGCAGGGCACCUCCCUGGGCCUCCACAUCUUCCUCGGCAGUCCAGGCACACGAGCCCUUUUUGGGUGCCACUCCGUGUCCCCGGCUUGGGCCCCCAGGCCUCAGGUUGUGGCCCCCCCACUCCAGGCGGCACGGUAGGGCUGUGGUGCCCAGCUGCCCACGGGGCUCCUCAAGCUGACACCCUACCCCCAAGCCUGGUGGACCCUGCCCCUUACCCUGCUCAGCAGCCCCUGCUUGCGGUAGGAAAGGGCCCCCCCCCACCACUGGGGCAAAGGAAGGCCCCCCAGCUCCCUCCACACCCCAAGCCUGCACCCCCACCUGACUCCUGCAGGCCACGGCCAUGGCUCCAGCGGCCACUCCGGAGCUGGACAGCGGCAGAGACAGGAGGGGAGCCCACCGGCCACACCUGCGAGCACGCACUUAGUGCCGCUCAUUCAGACAUCUGCUCUGUCCCUGGCGCCUUGCUACCUGCAAUGCUACUGAGACCAGGGGCUGUCAAAGCUCGGUCCGGGCCCCUCAGGUCCCAAGAACCUUCUAGAAGGUCCUAGAGGUCGAAACUGCUUCCAUAGUCCUAUCAAGACCUUUUCUCUGUCACUACUGUUCUCUCUUAUAUGUGGAGUUUUCCGGAGGCCGUGACGUGUGAUGACGCCACACAUUUGUCACUAUGUGACGGGGUGAGAACCGAGGGCCAGAGUGUCACACGAGAGGCUGUGCGAGUCCCCCCACCCCAGCCCUCCCCUGUGACGGGGGCUCAUCUCCCUGCAGUGUCUCAAGCCCGAGGUGUGGCCAGUGCCCACCGGACCCCAGGAACCCACCUUCCGAGUGUGGGCAGCUCCAGGAACAGCCUGGGCACUUCGCGCCGUCCUGCUGGCAGGGUGCUGGAGGCAGGGGAGCCCCCUUGCUGGACCCCGGGGAAAAUCCCGGGGAGGCGUGCUGCCCCUGUGGAGGCCCAGAGCCACCGCACCCCGCCGGGCUGAGGCCCCAGGUUUCUGCCUCCUCCAGCCACGAUCCCCUGCCCGUCCCGUGGGCCAUACGCUGAGCCUGGUACCAGGCAAGGGUGCUCCAAGGCCCAGAGCCCUGCCAGGCUCCAGAUCCGGGCGCUUGGACCUUCCUGGGCCUGCCUCCAUCACCUCACCCGGGGCCAGCAGAGGGGCUGUGAGCACAGACCUCUGGUGGGCAGGACCUGACCUCGUCCUACCUGAAGUGUCUAGGUGACCAGGACUCCCAGAGGGAGCCAGGUGGUGACAGCUUGGGACAGGAGGGCAGGGACCACUACAAACCAUGAAGUGCUUUCACCCCAGUGGGGCUUUCUUUCACUCGUACCCUGUCCCCGGCUCACAGCUUUCUUCGACUUGACAGCCUCCUGGAGCAGACACAUUGCAGGGUCAGCGGGUCCCCCACUGGUGGCGGUAGCCUGCAUCAGGAGGCACCUGGUCUCCCAAGGUCGCAGACAAAACAGACAGUCCAGUUUGAAUCUCAGAUAAAGAACAAGUACUUUUCUGGUGUGAAUACUGUAUACGACAUAUUAAAGAAUUAUCCACUGUUUAUCUGAAAUCCAAAUUUGACUGGGUUUCCUGUGUCUGUGUUUUCCUGCUCAGGCCAUCUCCGUUGGCGGCCUCCACGGAUCAACCCAGACCCUUCCCACGUGGUUCUGCCCCACCAGUGCCACUGCCCGGGACACAGACUGGGAACCGCACUCUGCCUGGCUACUCGGCCCUUCCUUCUCAUCACACGCUGUUCAUGCGCCUUCCUGAGACCCAUGGUCACUUUGGGACAGGUGGGGACACACAGCGGCCCCUCCGCGGCCCAUCUCUCCUGGCUGGCAGCCUCACCCAGUGUGGUGGCCUGCCUGUGCCCCCGCAGGUUUCCCAAUCCCGGGAACCUUGAUGGGGCCUGUGUGGCCAGAAAGGGUCCUGCGGAAGUGACUAAAUCCUGGACCUCAAGAUGAGGAGACUAGCCCGGACUAUCAUGUAAGCCAACUACAUGCACCCUUAUAAGAGGAGACGGAGAGAGAUCUGACACACAGAAGGGAUGCCACGUGACCAUGGGGCAGACAUUGGAGGGACGCAGCCACAAGCCAAGCCACUUUUGGAGCCACCGGAAGCUGCGAAAGGUGAGGAACAGACCCUCCCUUAGAGCCUCUGGGGCGAACACAGCCCUGCCAAGGCCUGAAUUUUGUCCCACUGGUGGUGACUUUGGCCGGUAAGAGAGGACACCUCUGUCAUUUUAAGCCACCGGUUUGAGGUGAUUUGUUGCAGUGACCCUAGGAGACUCACAUGGUUGGCCUGCUGCCCACCCUGGAGGGGAAGCCCCCAGCCCAUUCCCCACCACAGGCAACGGCGUCUGCACUGUGAGCCUGGGUGACCCAGCUGCCCACCCCCACCCCCACCCCGAGCUCCUUCUGCAACACCAACACCGGGCACAGGC